RNAcentral lists this unclassified non-coding RNA (1944 nucleotides) under Hevea brasiliensis (rubber tree). The record is from RNAcentral. Lineage: Eukaryota; Viridiplantae; Streptophyta; Magnoliopsida; Malpighiales; Euphorbiaceae.
GAAGGUAACUCGUAACCGUGAUUGCAUUUUAUAUAUUAAUUUUUUGGACAUGGGGAUAUUUAAGUUGUUGAUUAAAGUAAUUUUGGCGAUUGAUUAGCUUGGUUGGCUCUUUCUUGUUAGUUUUUAGAAGGAUUUUACUUUUUUUAUUUUUUUUUAAAGCAAGGAUUUUACUUGAAUAACAUGGUUUGUACGUUAAUCGGACUGUAGGUUUUAGUAAAUAAUAUUUAUAUGGGUAUGAAUUAUGGAGAUGUUGAGGAUGCAAAACUGCUGAAUUUUGAAUUUCGGCAAUGUUAUUCCGAUUGGGUUUUGAGGUCUUUUGGGUGAAUUGAUUACCCUUUUGUCUUUUUGGUGGUGCUCCUGAUUUCAAAAUUGAUGAUGGUGCAUUAGCACAGUACAUUAUUUCAAAGAAGAAUCGUUUCUUUUUCUUCAACUAGCUUAACUAGAUCAACAAGAGGUUGCUUUGUCAGUUUAUGUGGCUAGGUAUGAAGGUGUUUAAACAGGUCACUCCUGUAACCCUUUCGCUAUGGGCCAGAGUUUCUGGAUUCAGAUGGCUCAGGCUCAGAUUUUUUUCCAAUGACGGAUGCUUGAUAAUCAUGCUUUUCUGAAAUAUGGCUGUCCCUGUCCUCUUGUUAAUUGUUCUCUUAAUUAGCUUAUUGCCGAACUAGUUUAAGAAGGAAGUUGGUUCUGCAGCUCUUGAGUCUUGGAAGAUAAAUAAAUGCUGCAGCCUAAGCGUGACAUGGGAGAUCACAAUUAGUGUGUAUAAUUAUAAUUUUGUGAAAAUUGCUGGUGUAAUGUAUACAGAUUGACUGGUUAUACAUAUGUAUGUGAUCCAAACAUUUUAGCAGAAAAGAGAAAUAAUAUUGUCAAGUAUUCAUUUGUAUAACAAGUGAACUUAAUGCAGCAAAAUCAUAGACAAAUUUUAAGGAUGAGAAAAACAUAAUCACUCUGUUAUUUUUUUUUCCGAAUCUAUGUUAUUUUCUUAUAUAUUUUUUUAAUUGAAUUUUGUAACUUUCAUUUUUGUUCUUUUUCUCAUCAUCACAAUGGAUUGAAAUUUAAUGGCCUUUUUCGAUUCACAGAGCAGGGAGUCUCACGCAUGGGACACACCCUUUUUUCUAGUUCUCCAUAUUAUGUUGCUUCUUUUGUGACUCAUUUAUGAAUGGUCCUAUCAUUUCUAAUGAUAAUAACAAUGACAGUGUGGGAGGACAAGGAGGAAGGAAAAGAGGUGACACAACAGUGGGAAGAUGAUUGGGAUGAUGAUGAUGUUAAUGAUGACUUCUCGCUGCAGCUGAGGAGGGAAUUGGAGAAGAAUGCUGAGAAAAACUAAGUAACUAAUUUGUGUUGUCUCUCAGUAUUAGCAUAUGUAAUGGAGUAUCAAUUAGUAGUUUGAGCACAAGAUGUUCUUUCCAUGUGCUUAGCAUGGAGAAGAUUGUGUGAACUAUUAAGAUCAUUUAGUUCAGUUCAAAAUUUAAGUUCUGGAACUUGAGACUUUUAUUUUCUACAACUUCGACUUUACGUGCUAGGGUUUUGUGCUUGAAUGGGUUGCCUCAUAGGACCAUGUUAAAUUCCUCCGUUUGUGUAGUACGUUUAUGAAUAACAUGCUAUCAUGGUGAGUUGAUGAUGGUAUCCCACUCGAGCGGUUGAGCCAACAUCUUGACAUUGGGAGAACAGUCCUUUUCUGCCAUGGUGAUGGAAUGCUGUGGCCUUGCAACAUACAAUGGAAAGUGAUUCUUUGUUUUUGUGGUGGUGCAUUUCAAGAUUUCAAUUCCUAUGUAGGUUUUGAGAACUGAACAUGGUAUAGAAGUCUUUCAAAAUUAGAUGACAUUUUCAUUUAAUUAGUUUAAAUUAGAGUAGAGGUUAAUGUAUCAUAAGUUUUUUGUUCUCAUAUACAGCACAUAAAUAGGUCUCAUUUUAUUGAAAUGUCAAAGAGCAUAAAGGACAGGAAGA